RNAcentral lists this ribosomal RNA (433 nucleotides) under uncultured bacterium. RNAcentral's name for it is "partial 16S ribosomal RNA". It matches the Rfam family "Bacterial small subunit ribosomal RNA", at positions 29 to 507 of the family's 1533-position model. The record is from RNAcentral.
AACGAACGCUGGCGGCAUGCCUAACACAUGCAAGUCGAACGAGACCUUCGGGUCUAGUGGCGCACGGGUGCGUAACGCGUGGGAACCUGCCCUUAGGUUCGGAAUAACUCCCCGAAAGGGGUGCUAAUACCGGAUAAUGUCUUCGGACCAAAGAUUUAUCGCCUUUGGAUGGGCCCGCGUUGGAUUAGCUAGUUGGUAGGGUAAAAGCCUACCAAGGCGACGAUCCAUAGCUGGUCUGAGAGGAUGAUCAGCCACACUGGGACCGAGACACGGCCCAGACUCCUACGGGAGGCAGCAGUGGGGAAUAUUGGACAAUGGGCGAAAGCCUGAUCCAGCAAUGCCGCGUGAGUGAUGAAGGCCUUAGGGUUGUAAAGCUCUUUUACCCGGGAUGAUAAUGACAGUACCGGGAGAAUAAGCUCCGACUAACUCCGUG